GGCGGGGGGUGCAAGCGUUAUCCGGAAUCACUGGGCGUAAAGCGUCUGUAGGUGGUGAUGCAAGUCACUGGUGCAAAACUCUGGCUCAACCGGAGGAAAGCCAGUGAAACUGCAUGACUAGAGUGUGGGAGAGGUAGAAGGAAUUCCCUGAGUAGCGGUGAAAUGCGUAGAUGCAGGGAAGAACACCGGAGGCGAAAGCGUUCUACUGGAACACAACUGACACUGAGAGACGAAAGCUAGGGGAGCGAAUGGG
This 253-nucleotide ribosomal RNA is filed under the name uncultured bacterium. RNAcentral describes it as "partial 16S ribosomal RNA". It matches the Rfam family "Bacterial small subunit ribosomal RNA", at positions 524 to 776 of the family's 1533-position model. The record is from RNAcentral.